CUUUAACAUGUCUCAUGGCAGUUGAAGAGUUAAGGUGGACCCUGUGUGGAGUGCCACUUUUGCCUGGCCCACACGCUCUCAAGUGUACUUUCAAAUGUACUCUCUGUCAGGACUGACUAAAGGAUCCUCAGCAAAAUGAGAGACAGCGAACUAACAAAGACAAACACAGAGGCAUAGGGACGCAUAAUCGGACCUUAGAGUGCUCAGGUUAAUAAAACAGGACUAAGAGAAGACUACAGUCCAGGAGAGGAACAAUAUUUGAAACACACAAUGCCCAAUACAAGCAAGGGUCAGGAGAACAGAAAAAAAGCAAUGUCCAGAAAAAGCCAGGGACUGGUACACAUGAAGGGAAGUCAGACAAACCAGAGACUGGAACACAAAAUCAGGUGAAAGGCAAAGAGGGCGGGUCAGGUACACAAGGACAGGAGAGCAGAAGGUAGUCAGGUAAGCCGGGUCAAUAUAACAGAUUAAGUCAAGAUUAGGACAAAAUAUCACCAAUUAUAAAGGAACCACAAGAGUUCAGAGCAGCCGAAUAGCCCUCUUUAAUUAGGAAGGUCCUGUACAUGUUUGGCUCUUGCCUACUAGAGCAACAAGAUCAGAAAGGAAGCAUCUGUGUUACCCACAAGUGCCCUACAAAAACAAGCAAUCAGAAUAUCAGGUGGGUCAGAAUCAAACAGACAUCCCUUCAAAAUUUACCCAGGGUAACAGGUUCCACAAUGGCAGUGUGCAGCAAUAGAGCAGUGGGAAACAGGGGUUCAAGUCCCACCAAAUCCCAGCUCCAGAGCCAAUCAGAGAUAUCUUAUAGACUAAAACACAAAGAAAUUUAUAUUCUCAGAUUCUACAGUCACAUACAGUAUUUGGUGGUGCCAUACUAAGGACUGACUGGAAGGGAAUGUCACUCACUCACCUGUCAGACCACCACACUAAUGCUACUUGGGACAUCUGUAAGAUAGCAGGCUAAGACCCUGACACUGCAUUGUUUCACCUCCGACAGUAGAAGCUCUGUAAUGUUAGCUAGUGACCAGCUUUUCACGAUAAUGAAUGCACCAGUCCAGGAGAGCUUUAUACUACCGACCCAGCAACAUAGUGUUUGGGAACUCCCCUCAGAACUGGGCUGGUAACUGGUCAAUGUCCUAGAAGAAAGAGUUUUAGGCUUCAUACUGCUACCUUUUACAAAUGGUGAUCAGGCAAGUGAGUUUCUAAUAUCUAACUAGCCCAUAGCAGCACCACCACCACAUCCUUGCUCACCAGCACACUGGGCAACACAUGAUGGCACACCAGGUAAACAAAACACAAUUGUAGACCUUCUGAAGUGUGCUGGGAAGGGGAGGAACAUCCUUCUGGUCGUUCGUACUCUCCAAAUGGGAAGCAGCUAACAUAUCAUGCGUAUAUUGUCAUCUCCAGCCUGCGGCAUGUUCCAUCAUCUGUUUGUGUGCUUAUUGAAAGUAGCUCUGUCAUGAUAUUAUUUAUUUUUGUGCUCGAUCACAUGGUAACUAAUUGUCUAAAUGUUGUGCGUAUACUUAUAAGACGAUGUUCUGCACUUUGUAGAUCAGUGACUCAUCCCUUUUCUCCUUUCCAAAGAUGUCAGUGGUUAAGACUGCCAAAUCCCUGUCGUGUUUUUACAUUAAAU
This 1630-nucleotide long non-coding RNA is filed under the name Pelobates cultripes (western spadefoot toad). The record is from RNAcentral. Lineage: Eukaryota; Metazoa; Chordata; Amphibia; Anura; Pelobatidae.